This 488-nucleotide long non-coding RNA is filed under the name Prunus persica (peach). Its description in RNAcentral is "long non-coding RNA (PPER_LNC000021)". Lineage: Eukaryota; Viridiplantae; Streptophyta; Magnoliopsida; Rosales; Rosaceae. The record is from RNAcentral.
GCCUUCGGGCUGGCCCGAGUUGGUGGGUCCCACACCACCCCCGGGCCUGGGCUGUACGCUGGAGCGACUUUUUUUUUUUUUUCCUGCCCUCGCCUCGGGCUGGGCUCCCUCGCUGGAGCUGCUCUAAUGGAUAUGAGUUCACUGGCUGCUGCUAUGAAGAAAAGACAAAGGCCCUUCUUUGGCAAUGGAGACUCGUUGCCCUUGGAAUGUAACAUGAGGCAAGAAGCAAUGAUGAGCAAUAUUGGAUGAAUUCAAGCUUUUCCUUUAGAAAUGGAAACCCUCUUUUUUUUUUUUUUUUUUUCUUUCCAUUUCAUUAAAAAUUUAUUCUCUGCUUAGCUAAUAUGAAAUGUACCAUCCUUUGUAAAUUUGUACCAUCAGCGGUCUGUAUAUUCGUAAAUCAGAUUGUUUCCAUGUGCAUGGACCUUUAUUUUUAUACAUGUCGAUUUGCCUGCCUUCUAGCCUUUUAGACACUGGCCCCGGCAUGAAAC